This is a long non-coding RNA of Onychomys torridus (southern grasshopper mouse), 4312 nucleotides long. RefSeq lists it as uncharacterized. The record is from RefSeq and is a predicted model, not a curated record. Lineage: Eukaryota; Metazoa; Chordata; Mammalia; Rodentia; Cricetidae. The transcript has 9 exons.
UGAUGAUAAUGGACAGAACCUCUGAAACUAGAGCAGACCUGACCUUUCAUUCCUAUAUAACCUCAGAGAACAACAUCAAGGUGGAGCCUCCCUGAGGCAGGUACGCUACUGGUCCCUCCAUCUAUGAUGGCCUCCUCUCACAUGAAGCAGAAACCUGGUAUUCUGGUGGAAUUAAUCAGGACACCAAGCAGCCAAAACAACAUGGAAAACAGAACACAGUUCAGAGUCUCAUGUUUCAAAAAAAUAACCAUAAAAAUCUGAGUUCUGCCCCCUUGCACCACAAAAACAAAGCCUGGAAAGGUAAAAAAAGAGAUGCUGCAUGUGCAAGCCCUUCAUAAGCCUCUGAGACUGUGUGAAAGCCCUCAAUAGAGAAGUCCCAGCAGCAUGUGCACUCCCGAGCUGAGCCGAGUUCUCUCCCCAGACACAAUACUGCCAAGUACUGUGGAGAGCUGAUUCAUGAAUCUGAAGACUUCAGAUAGGCUUUUCAAGCUGGAUUGAUACUGAACCAUGAUAUUUUUUUUUUAAAUCUUGAAUCAAGAAAAUCUGAGUGCUACCACAGUCUGCGCCUCGAUUCUCUUUAGUUUUCCACACAGAGAACCCUCUCAUCUGUCAACCAGCCUGCUAGUCAUGAUGCGAGCCACUUGCUGACAUAGAACCAUCCUUGUGCCUCUGAGACAAGUGCUCCCUAGUCGUGGUAUAGAGUCUGUUUCCUCCUCUGCAGGACUGCCGAACUCAUGAGCUCACAGCUGCUGCGGCCCCCACACAAGAUCAAGCCGGUCGACAUUCCAGCAUGGAGUGGGGAGAGGUUCACUAGCCCCCAUCCCUACCUGACAGCUGAUGGGACUCUAGGGGAAGGAAAGUCAGUUUUCUUUAAAGCCCAGUCACCUCAACGUACUCCAGAGUGUGUACUGCACAAGGAUGAUGGCAGGAAGCAGAAUGGCAGCAUCCCACCCUCCGUAGACAUCCUGUCGAUGUCUCUCAUCCUCUCUGUUCAGACUCCAAGAGAUGCUUCCUAAAGGUCCCCCGUCCCCUGACUUAUUGCAUCUCAGAGAAAACUCUCAGGGGUUCAGUCCCAGCUAACAGCACUGUCUUGACCACACAACAGCAGAAGCCACCAGACAUCAUUCACAGUUCUUGGCACAAGGUGAAUGAGAUAAUGAACAACUUGGGUGGAGCUAUUCUGAUUUCUGUGCUCAGUUUUCCUAUUUAUUGUUGCAAUCUGUUCAUAUUUGAUCAGUGUUGCAAACAGUUAAGUCAGAGACGCUAUUUACAGCCAUGUUCUAUUGAUAACACUUCUCGGAAGAGCAAGCGCACAUGGGGAUGAUUUUCACCGUGAGCCCGCUGUAUGGGAAAAAGAAGGGCACAGGGAAACCCGAGCUGAUGCCCUUGACAUAAGCCAGUCCACAGCUACUCAGAAGCACACCCUUCAUCUUCACAGCUUUCCUGUAAGUUUGAAGUAACACGUCAUGUGAACGGGACUAUCAUGUCUACAGCGCAGAAGCCUAUGGGAGGAGCCACAGUCCACCUGGGGACAGUUGAGCUGAUAUGGAAGGCAGCAAGUGAGGGUGCCUUGUCUGUUCUUCCCUUCUACCUCUCAGAGAAACAGCUCUGCCGUGUGUGGCCGGUGUCCCAGGCUGGUCCUUUAGCUCCUAGCAGAGCCCUCCAUCCAUUUGCCUCGUUCAUGCAGUGGCAAGCCCAGAGAGACACGUGCCCUCCUCAGGGCAAGGAGUUGUCAGUAUAGGCCCAGUGGGGCUGUAGCAAACAAAGCCUUGGACCGCCAAGGAAGCUGCAGAGGGGGAGCCAGGAAAGAACUCUACUCCCAUCACUGUAUGCGAUCAAAGGCCAUGCUCAUGACUCCUGUGCUACAGGAAGAACCCCUGUAUCUGGUAGAGAGAGAAGACCCAUGUGGCAACCUAUAGGAGCCCAGAGAUGUCCAUAAGGACUACUUCCAGACCCGGGCAUCUGAGAGACUGCUUCGGUAAAUUAAAAGGAGAGUUUCAUUUGUAUUGAUACAGAACCCUUCAAUGAAGACAGAUAAAGUUCUUUGGUCUAUUGACAUGUGGCUCCUCUCCUUUGGCUGUCAAUCAAUGCCCAAAAGAGCAGGGGAGGAAAAAAUCAAUUGUAUAAUUGUGGGAUUGAUUUGGCAGUGCCUGAUGGGAAAGGGUUUGUAUUCUAACAACACAGAUGAGCCUCUCAGGCUGGGAGUGUAGCUCUGUGGAAGAGUGCUGCCUAGCACGGGUUCAAUACCCAACACUAACAAAAGGAAAAGUAAAGCAGGAAAGGUUCCUUCAGAGACGUUGACAAACCUCAGUUUACCACGUUUGAGGACAUGCAUCCUUUAGAUGGCCAAAGUGCUCAGCAUGGAAUGCACAUGGAAUCCCCAUGGAAUGUACAGAAUGACAGGGCUACAGAUAGGAAUGGACCCGAGAGCCUGGCCUCAGGGCACACAGCUGUGGGAUGAAGGACCACAUUCUUCACCUCCGAGAGACUCAGUCAAAAGUCAAUGUAGACGGGACAGUGGCAGGGCCUGAUCUGCAGGAAGCCCUCAAUGUGUGUUGUACACACCCUGGGCUUUUAUCCGAUGACUUCUCUGACCUCGGUGACAAAUACAUUGAGCCAGCAGCACCAGCUGGGGCACUGGGAGACUCAAACACUGUCUCCAAUGCAAACACUCAGCUGUAUGCACCCCACGCCUGCUUCUGCGUAGCAAAAUGGUGAGGGUGCCCCACAUACGUUCCAUAGCUGGCACAGGCUCCAGUGGUCUCUGAAAAGGGUCACAACAUGCUGCGCGACACUUCAUUGUCACUGCAAGCAAAAUAUUAACAAAUUAUUCGUUCUCCUUCUAUCAUGCAAGUAAGAAGCCACACGAUUAUAGAAAUCUGGCAACAGUUAUAUCUGCAGUGGAGACAAGUUCAGCUUUGCCGUGAGAGAGGAGAGCUAAGAGGCCAACCUCAGCUCCCUACCUAUGCUCCCUGGUCAGCAGCCUUAGGAGGGAGACGGUAGGGAUUCGUGUUAAAGUCAGAAACGGGAAUGAAGGAACACAGCCACCAAUCCGAUCUGGAGGCUGUCAUGGGAUCUCCAGGAGAGAGAGAGAGAUGGCUGAGAAAACACGUAAAGAUAAGAAUGUGUGAAAGCAGAGAGAAACACACACACACACACACACACACACACACACACACACACACACACACUCAAAUGUAGGGAGGAAAGAGGCUUAAAAAUCCAGGUCCAAAUGCAGGCAUGAAACCAAGACUCUGCAGCGGCUUGGAAAUUCACUCCCUCUACCAGCAGCCUGCCUGCCCUCUACCCCAGGACAGGUGAGCAGUGGGAGAGAUGAGGAGCCCACCAGGAUGGAUGGAGAAAUGAGCCGCAGCUUGGGGAGAGCGCUUGGCAGAGAUUAGGAGAGCCUGCACUCAGGAGCACCAGGCGGAAGCUGCCUUUGGGAGGUUGGUGAGGAGGUUGAGGUAGGGUACAGUGGGUUGAGGAUGCCUUUCAAAGGGAAACCUAACCUCAUCAGCAACUCUCCUGCGGAUUCUUCUCCACUAAAUUCAAUCCUUUCUUUCUUGUAUAAAAAUCUAUACAGCAAGAAGUCCAUCUAGAAUUCCACCCUGCAACCCCCACCACAUGGACAUGAUCCUCCUUGAGCAUGCUCCCUAGACUUCCCAAUGCACGCUUAACAAAGGCGUUUUCUGUCAGAGCCAGCUCGCAUCCUUGUUCUGUUUUAUGAUUUGCCCUUUGUGUCUUAAGUCAGAGAUAUCUUUCCCCAUGAAAAUAUGUCUUCCCAGACCUUCAUCCUUACUGGUCAUGUGUCACAUGGACAGAUCAUCACCAGUUAAUCAAUUCGCCAUUGCGGGACAUUUAUGUUGCUUCUACUAACUCUAGCAUUAUAAAUAAUGCUUUGACCGAGGACAUCACAUAGGCAGCUUUGUACACCAGCCCAUUUUAAUUCUUCAGAUAAAUUAACUGUGGAAUUGUGUGAGUCAAUACAUGGUGAUAGGCUAAAAGAAAUGUCUGUUCCCCUAAAGACAUCUGUGUUCCAGUCCUUAGCACCUGUUAUCAUGUAGUCUUACACAUAAGGAUUUUGCAGGAGUGACCCAGUGAAGGAUUCUAAGAUAGGGAGAGUCCCCAGAGUUAUCUAGGUAGGUUUCAGAAUGCCAUUGCCAGGAGUGCUUGGGAGAGGAAGGAGGAUAGGAUCAGGAGUGAAAAUACCAUGCUGCCCACGGUAGUCUGAGACAGAGUAGGGCUAGGAGUCAGGAAAGGGGGGUUUCCUUAGAUGCUGGAGAAGAGAAGACAAGGAAUCAGCACACACAUU